This 481-nucleotide ribosomal RNA is filed under the name uncultured bacterium. Its description in RNAcentral is "partial 16S ribosomal RNA". It matches the Rfam family "Bacterial small subunit ribosomal RNA", at positions 28 to 523 of the family's 1533-position model. The record is from RNAcentral.
GACGAACGCUGGCGGCGUGCUUAACACAUGCAAGUCGAGCGGAAAGGCCACUUCGGUGGUACUCGAGCGGCGAACGGGUGAGUAACACGUGAGUAAUCUGCUCCUGGCUUUGGGAUAGCCACCGGAAACGGUGAUUAAUACCGGAUACGACCACUUCUCGCAUGGGAUGGUGGUGGAAAGUUUUUUCGGCCAGGGAUGCGCUCGCGGCCUAUCAGCUUGAUGGUGGGGGAAUGGCUCACCAUGGCUUCGACGGGUAGCCGGCCUGAGAGGGUGACCGGUCACACUGGGACUGAGACACGGCCCAGACUCCUACGGGAGGCAGCAGUGGGGAAUAUUGGACAAUGGGCGGAAGCCUGAUCCAGCAACGCCGCGUGAGGGAUGACGGCCUUCGGGUUGUAAACCUCUUUCAGCAGGGACGAAGCGCAAGUGACGGUACCUGCAGAAGAAGCACCGGCCAACUACGUGCCAGCCGCCGCCGUAA